GAUGAACGCUGGCGGCGUGCCUAAUACAUGCAAGUCGAGCGAACAGAUGAGGAGCUUGCUCCUCUGACGUUAGCGGCGGACAGGUGAGUAACACGUGGAUAACCUACCUAUAAGACUGGGAUAACUUCGGGAAACCGGAGCUAAUACCGGAUAAUAUAUUGAACCGCAUGGUUCAAUAGUGAAAGACGGUUUUGCUGUCACUAUAGAUGGAUCCGCGCCGCAUUAGCUAGUUGGUAAGGUAACGGCUUACCAAGGCAACGAUGCGUAGCCGACCUGAGAGGGUGAUCGGCCACACUGGAACUGAGACACGGUCCAGACUCCUACGGGAGGCAGCAGUAGGGAAUCUUCCGCAAUGGGCGAAAGCCUGACGGAGCAACGCCGCGUGAGUGAUGAAGGUCUUCGGAUCGUAAAACUCUGUUAUUAGGGAAGAACAAAUGUGUAAGUAACUAUGCACGUCUUGACGGUACCUAAUCAGAAAGCCACGGCUAACUACGUG
Molecule: ribosomal RNA, 496 nt
Filed under: uncultured bacterium
Lineage: Bacteria
Description: partial 16S ribosomal RNA
Rfam family: Bacterial small subunit ribosomal RNA
Source: RNAcentral